UCUUGGAGCUCAGGGCGAUCUCCCAGAAGUCAGCGGGGCUACUGCAGUUGCUGCUUCGGUCCCCAGUGUACUCCUGCCCAGAAGAGCCCAGCCCUGCCCACUACAGCUCUGGCACCUUCUGCCAGAGUACGAGGCACGAGGAUGGGGGCGAGCCGUGGCUGAGCCAAAUCCCCCCACCCCGCACCGCCACUGCCUUUCCUGCACCUUCUCGUAGAAGAGCCUCUCGAGCCGCCCGUCUUCCUUCUUCAGGGACAGCCAGCGCCCGCACAGGAACAGGAACUCGUCCUCGUUGGUGUCAUUCCAGAUCUCCACCUUUUCCACAUACCAGUCUGCACACCACUUGGUGUUGUCGUGGCGGAGCUUGAUCUUGUAGAUGACACCCAGAUAUUUGCUGUGCCUACAGCCUGGCUCCGUGGAUCUGGCCACAAAGAAACAGGGAUCUGUCAGCUGUGUGCUGCACGCUGCUGUCUUACAGUGCAUUCUCCACGUAUCCGCCCAGGCACCACUGAAGGCAGGGGAAGGUACCGCUCCCCGGUGUCCCCCAGAUCUCCAUAGAUGGUGAUGUAGACCUUGGCGUCCGUCCCUGCCCCUGGAACGUUUCCUGUGAAGAUCUGCACCGAGUACAGCACAACUGGGCGGGUAGUCAGACCGACGGACGGACAGAUGGACAGACAAAGAGAAGAAAAGAAUGGCAUUGCUUUAGGAUGGAGGGAACUGGAUUUGUAGGAGGUAUUAAGCCCUCCUUGGGGCCCCAAGGAGGAGUUAGCAUCUGCCUUUCAUUUGUUCACUUGUGCACAUUCUGCUACAAAUCUGCAAGGAUUCACCGGUGGGGGCGGCGGGGGAGGGAACGUCUGCCCACCCGAUCUGGACACGGCUGUCCUCUAAGACCCGGAGGAUGGAGGCUUCUCCCAGCAGCUCUCGAACCAUCCACCCAUCAGCUGCCUGCGCUUUGGGGGCGGGGGGGGGGGGGGCGAUGCAGGAGAUGGCCCAAGAUGUAUGUGCGCUGUGGUCACUACAUCUACCUGCCCUGACAUGCGACAAUAAUAUGCCUUCCCAUUUGGGGGUUCCCAGGACCCACACCAGUUGCUUCUAAACAGUCUUUGGAAAAAAAUCAAGUAUUUUUUUGAAAGUAUAGCUUCCCCAUAGUGUCCAUGUCCUUAUUUUUAUUUAUUCUUCAGCUCCCUGCCAUGCGGCACCUGCCCCCCGGUGACCACCACCCUCUCCUUCACCCGCUGUGGCCUGUGGCAAGGGCUCUGUGA
This is a long non-coding RNA of Zalophus californianus (California sea lion), 1259 nucleotides long. RefSeq lists it as uncharacterized. The record is from RefSeq and is a predicted model, not a curated record. The transcript is spliced from 3 exons. NCBI's taxonomy places the organism in Eukaryota, Metazoa, Chordata, Mammalia, Carnivora, Otariidae.